This 522-nucleotide long non-coding RNA is filed under the name Brassica napus (rape). Its description in RNAcentral is "long non-coding RNA (BNAP_LNC009055)". The record is from RNAcentral. Lineage: Eukaryota; Viridiplantae; Streptophyta; Magnoliopsida; Brassicales; Brassicaceae.
UUUUAUGUCUACUAAAAAAUAAGAAGCAAUGCAUUUUAAAAGAAGACACGUAUAUAUUGAAGAAGGAUUGUAUAAAAUAAAAGUAAAAGUAUGAUCACAAAGUUGCACAAUAUUACAUUACAUGUCAUAAAGUUUGGAUAAUAUUAAAUUUCCUACAACUUAUAACUGGUCUCAUUUACCAAUAGCAACUGCUUCAUCACACUUGGCUUAAUCUCACUUUCCUCUGCUACGAUACGGCUCUGCCAUAGGUUUGGGCGAAGAAUGGUUCGACAACGACUUCGAGGCUGAGGAUACAGAUUGAUUAACUACACUCUGUGAAUGUGAUCGUGGUUGAACAGUAGUUGUUUCCGUCGCUGGAGGAACAUUGCUUCUCCAUCCUGUGGUGAGGUAGCAGAAGAUAUUUCCCAUGACUGAGUGAUGUAAGACUUAAAAACUGGUGUCUUUCUGCUUCGGCUUUUAUAUUAAUUGUGUUGUGUGGUUGGUGGAAAACAUUUGUGUAAAGUUUGACUUUGGCAGGACUAC